RNAcentral lists this ribosomal RNA (118 nucleotides) under Triticum aestivum (bread wheat). Lineage: Eukaryota; Viridiplantae; Streptophyta; Magnoliopsida; Poales; Poaceae. The record is from RNAcentral.
GGAUGCGAUCAUACCAGCACUAAAGCACCGGAUCCCAUCAGAACUCCGAAGUUAAGCUUGCUUGGGCGAGAGUAGUACUAGGAUGGGUGACCUCCUGGAAGUCCUCGUGUUGCAUUCC